AUGAAAUAUAGCAAUAUAUGCAAUAAGCGUUUGCGAGAGUUGUUCUGCAUGAAAGAAGGUGGAGAGCAAAUUCUAUAUGUAAGGAUUGGUCUUUUAACUUUCUGUCGUCAAAGCUUUGAGUUGUUUCAGAGUUGUAUGUGACGACAGUCUCAAUAAAAAGAGUUUUGCCUUGUUUGGAAGCAAGAAUCUAUAAGGGUGAGGCCUACAUUCAUGUAUCAUAUAUGUCUAUUUUAAGCAUGCAUGCAUUUAAACUAUUACCCGCGAAGACUACCAUAGACUAGAAUUUGUUCCUAUGCAUCAAAUGCAUGUGGUGUUGUUCAACUGUUAGUUUUCGUAACGUUAACUGGUAUUAAUUAGUUCAGGUUUCCUCCUGUAGUAACACAGGACAAAUAAGGGUUGUCCAUUUCUGGACCUCUAGGGAGAACAGUUUAGAACUGAUAGAGUUAUCCAGUAUAAAUAAAGUUAGUUUAGUUUAGGUUUCCUCCUGUAGUAACACUGGAUCAAUAAGAUCCUUAUGAUCCUUACUGGACCUCUAGGAAGAACAGUUUAGAACUGAUAGAGCUAUCCAGUAUAAAUAAAGCCGUUAGUUUAGUUUAUGAACAAAUAAAGGUUGUCCAUUUCUGGACCUCUAGGGAGAAUAGUUCAGCACUACGAAUGCAGCAGAACUAAUAGAGAUACCCAGCAAGAAUAAAUCCGGCGUACUAUAUGGCCCAGUAUAAAUCAAAUUAAUGUAACGUUUGCAUGGCUUUAGAUUCAACUCGUGCUGUAGUUGGUGAAUAUCACUGAAGAUAAAGGAGUCAGUUGAAAUGAUUUCAGAAAAGUUGUCUCUCUCGCCGUUCAAGUCACAUCUCAGCCAACAUGCUGUUCCCUCGUCAUUAUUCUGCAGUGACCAGGACUGUGGACAGAUCACUUCAUUAUUUGCUGAGUCCGAGCAUUAUUCCUGGUCAUGUGGCUUUCUUGCUUGGAUUUUGUUAGGGAUCAUAACUGUCAUGAUUGCUGGUGGAAUUUUGAUUGUUAUACGAUGUUAUCUCAAAUUUAGGUAUACAGUACAUGCGGGUGUAUAUAAAAAAACACAACC
This is a non-coding RNA of Paramuricea clavata, 1078 nucleotides long. Lineage: Eukaryota; Metazoa; Cnidaria; Anthozoa; Malacalcyonacea; Plexauridae. The record is from the annotation of a GenBank genome assembly.